AUCCAUUUGUUCAGUAAGCAUUUAAUUUCACCACCAGGCGCGUGCCUGGCCCUUGGGGAGGUGCUGGGAAGCAGAAAUAAAGAAGAUGCCUAUCUCCAUCCUCCAGGGCCUCCAGGAAGCCCAGUGGCCCCAUCACACACCAAAGAGCCCCAAAGACACCCCAGAUCGGAAAUCGCUGUGGUCACCACGCUUAUGGUUUGAACAGAACAGCCGCCCAGAGCUGCCAGUUGGAGGCGUCCUGCAGAGCUGCUCAGGACAUGGCUUUGCUCUCGUCUCACUUGGCCUCCCCUCCCUUUUUCUAGGACGAUGCCAUUAGCUUUGAGCAUCAGGAAUGUGCUGAAGACAGGCGAUGAACCGGUGACCUUGGGGUGAGCAGCCGGCUGAGCGCAGGGCAAGCUUGCCAGAUGCAGUCAAGGCCACUUCCGGUCCCCAGACCACCGCCCCCCCCCAGGUUCAUACAUCGGCGUCCUGUCACUUGAGCGCUCCCUCCUGCCUCUGCUCACCUUCUGGGCCUCAGUGGAGAGGCCGCCAGGGAAAAUCCAUUUAAAGAAGCCACGGCCAUCUCUGCAGCGUAACCCAGUGAUUCUGUAAUAAAUCACGUUCUGGAGCCAGGAGCCACUUAGGAACCUGAGCCGUGAAUCCUGCCUGGGGCUGGCACUUUGGAUCUGCUCAAGCUGAGCCACUGCUUUGUGCUGUGAUUCCUGCCGGUGGCACUUGUGCGAUGGCGGAUGGUAGACUCUGGCGUGUCCCUUGCCUCGACCAGAGACCUCUGCCUUGGAAGAGACCCCGUGUUCCACUGCUGUCUCCACUGAUGUGACCAGGGCCUGGCCCAGGGACAGGACUCGGGGGCCCAAACGGGGUCAGGCAGGAACCUGGCCCUCAGGGAACUGGCUUGGGCAACCUCACGUGCCAGGAACGCCCCCAUGAGUGACCCAAGGCCUCUGGAGACCAGCCAGAUUGGGCAGCCUGGCCCCUGCGGCAGAAGACAGUCUGUCGGACGGGCUGUCAGCAAGCAGCAACGACGUCCUUCUUGGGGACGCCUGGCCGAGCUUCGCAGAGCGGGAGCCCUGAACACAGCAAGGAGGCAAGGCUGAGUCUUUCUUCAUCUUCUCCCACCACCCUAAUGAAGCCACGAGGCAGGAGGGACCAUGGGAACCGGACUCAGCAAGAAGGGACUUUGCAACCAGACUCAGCAUCUCUGAAGAAAGGCCCCUCUGAAAGAAGACAGCACAGAGGCAAGCACGGCAACCUGGAAAAUAUUUACAUCCUUCGCAACCAGCCAGUGGAGCCCAGGGGGUCCUGUUAUUUGUCACUCCCUUGGGGAGCUGAGCUACAAGGCAAGCGACAGCUUCCCAUUUCAAGUCAGCCUUGGGAACGUCUCUCCUCUGUAUCAUACCAACCAGGGGACCAACGUGAUGGCUGCUGGCUGUCGGAGGCCCAUGUGUAUGGGCACGGACGGGGUGGUGGCGGGAGCUAGCACGCUGGAGUCCCCAAGGUCCUGGCUGGCUUGGCCCCUCCUCAGCUGUGUCCCUGCACAGCCUGCUCACCUCCUUGGAAUUUCUGCUUCUUGGUCUGUUGGAGAGUCCCAGUGCUUGCCUACUUGACAGUUUCAUUCCAACGACUGAGUGAGCUGCAAAAGGCGCCCUGAACACGAAGAUGCUUCUUCCCCGGUGCCUGGGAUCAUUGGCGCUGGGUAAACGCGACCCUGCCCCUCUCCCGUGCGUGCUGAUGUCUGCUGGGCAGGGCUCUCUGCCACAAGCAUGCCUUCCUGUUCUGCCCAAGAUGGGUGAUGCGGGACCUGGCACAAUCAUGGCUUAAAAGAAAUCUGAGCAGUCACCUCGCUAUUAUCGAGCUCCCUGUGGGCCAGCCUGUGCUAAAAAAUGGGGUGUGUGAGCACGCUCCUGGGAGGAGGGGCCGUGGAGUUCACUGGCCUCUCUGGUGAGACUGGGAGCCCACCAAAGGUCAAGUACCCCACGUCUGGAAGGAAAGGACUCUGUUGAGGAACCCAGAGACCCAGCUCUGCCUCUCACUGGCUGGUGACUUUGAGGCCAUCCCUUGGCUUCCCCGGGCCUCUGUGCCUCAUCUGUAAAAUGGGUGUAACUGCCUGCCGUCCGGUGUCCCCGUCAGCUCGGACCCCUGACGAGCCCCUCCCUCGUCAUAUCCUCCAGCAGAGGAGGCGCUUUCUGCGGCCACUAACGUGGCCUGGGUUCUUGUUGCAGGAUGGGCUCUGGCCGCCUGGGAAGGUCCCGAAGCCAGCCUCCUUCUUGCUUCCACAGUAAGAGGACAUUUCUUCUUUGCGAAACAUAAGUCACUCCGGGCAGCUGUGUCCACGGAUUGCCCCCCGCCCCCAAUAACCAAAGCACCCAAGCUGCCUGAAGUACCACAGCCCCGUAUCCACGGCUUUUGCCCAGCAGUUAAGAGCCUCUGCUCAGACUGAGAGGGUGCACACCUUUUGAAAAGAACUCCUUGUAAGCUCUCUUGCUCGGGCAGCCAAGGGGACGAUGGCAGGACGGUGGCUGGUGGGUGGGGUCCGAUCUCAGAGAGUUUCCCGUCUCCUGUGGUCACUCAGGCAGCCCUCAGGCCAGACUGGGCUCAAAAACACAUCUUGUUUAGCCGAUGUUUUUUUUUUUUUUUUUAAAUUGUGGUUAAAAUACGCAUAGGAGGAAACAGGCCAUCUAAUCGUUUUUAAAUGCCCGGUUCCCUGGCAUUGAGUAUCUUCACAUCGGUAUGCAACCAUCACCACCCCAUCGUCUCCAGCGCCUUUCCUUCUUCCCAGACUGCAACCCUGGCCCCUUGUUCCCACUAGCCCCCUAGAUCCCCCCGCCAGCCCCUAGCACCUCCCUCAGCAGCACCAGGUGGGUGACAAAGGGGAGGUGCCUGGUUGAUCACAGGCCCUCAACAAAGUUUAUUUCACUUCAUUCUUUUCCCAGGCAGAAGUCUCUCUGAGGUUAAA
This is a long non-coding RNA of Phacochoerus africanus (Common warthog), 2953 nucleotides long. RefSeq lists it as uncharacterized. The record is from RefSeq and is a predicted model, not a curated record. The transcript has 3 exons. Lineage: Eukaryota; Metazoa; Chordata; Mammalia; Artiodactyla; Suidae.